UGGGGAUGUAGCUCAGUUGGUAGAGUGCUUGUCUGGCAAGCAUGAGGCCCUGGGUUCAAUCCCCAGCACCACAA
Molecule: non-coding RNA, 74 nt
Organism: Sciurus carolinensis (gray squirrel)
Lineage: Eukaryota; Metazoa; Chordata; Mammalia; Rodentia; Sciuridae
Source: the annotation of a RefSeq genome assembly